RNAcentral lists this ribosomal RNA (520 nucleotides) under uncultured Glomus. RNAcentral describes it as "partial 18S ribosomal RNA". Lineage: Eukaryota; Fungi; Glomeromycota; Glomeromycetes; Glomerales; Glomeraceae. The record is from RNAcentral.
CGUAAGGUGCCGAAUGAGUCAUUAAAAAAUUAACAUCAUCCGAUCCCUAGUCGGCAUAGUUUAUGGUUAAGACUACGACGGUAUCUGAUCGUCUUCGAUCCCCUAACUUUCGUUCUUGAUUAAUGAAAACAUCCUUGGCAAAUGCUUUCGCAGUAGUUAGUCUUCAAUAAAUCCAAGAAUUUCACCUCUGACAAUUGAAUACUAAUGCCCCCAACUAUCCCUAUUAAUCAUUACGUCGAUCCUAGUAAACCAACAAAAUAGGAUCAAACGUCCUAUUUCAUUAUUCCAUGCUAAUGUAUUCAAGCUAAUGCCUGCUUUAAACACUCUAAUUUUUUCAAGUAACAGUCCUAACUCCCCAUAACACCAAACUAAUGACAUCAUGGUUCGUCAGAAGAGAGAAACCAACGACGCCAGUACGUACCCGAAAGCACGACCAACGUAUUGAUCCCGAAAUUCAACUACGAGCUUUUUAACUGCAACAACUUUAAUAUACGCUAUUGGAGCUGGAAUUACCGCGGCU